UACGGAGGGAGCUAGCGUUGUUCGGAUAUACUGGGCGUAAAGCGCACGUAGGCGGCUUCUUAAGUCGGUGGUGAAAUCCUGGAGCUCAACUCCAGAACUGCCUUCGAUACUGGGAAGCUCGAGUCCGGGAGAGGUGAGUGGAACUGCGAGUGUAGAGGUGAAAUUCGUAGAUAUUCGCAAGAACACCAGUGGCGAAGGCGGCUCACUGGCCCGGUACUGACGCUGAGGUGCGAAAGCGUGGGGAGCAAACAGG
This 253-nucleotide ribosomal RNA is filed under the name uncultured bacterium. RNAcentral's name for it is "partial 16S ribosomal RNA". It matches the Rfam family "Bacterial small subunit ribosomal RNA", at positions 524 to 776 of the family's 1533-position model. The record is from RNAcentral.